GACUUCUGUGUGUGGAGUUUGCCUCGGUCGCAAGCUGCGAUGCCGCAGUGGCUCAGUGCUUCCUGGCCGAGAACGACUGGGAGAUGGAAAGGGCUCUGAACUCCUACUUCGAGCCUCCGGUGGAGGAGAGCGCCUUGGAACGCCGACCUGAAACCAUCUCUGAGCCCAAGACCUAGUAAGUGAUGAGGGGAGCGGGAGCCAGUCCGCACGGAGGCAGUUUGAUACCAGGUAGCCCUGCGCGUCCUGGGACCUGCCGUGGAGCUGGGCGGACGAUGCUGAGGCAGAUCUCCAAGCUGCGUAGCCAGAGGAGCAGGGCUUGCGUUGCUGCUGCUGCGCGGAGUUGCGCCCCAGCAGCGGAUCUAACACUGCACCAGACUGUCGCUUCGAACGUGAUUUGGGGUCCAGGGAGGAAAAGAUGGAAAUGUAAUGUUUAACUCAAAUGAAAGGAAAUAAGUAAGCGAGAGGUUUGAAACAAAUGAACGAAGGCUAAACCUUCUAUCGAAAAAUGGCAACUUGGAAGUCUCCUUGCUUCCUGUAUUGUUUAUUUAUUCUAGGCCCUAGGCUGACCGGCCAGAAUAACAGGUUUGUUGUUGUUGUUAUUUUUUUUUAAUGCACACCUACUCCUGUUAUUUCAGUGCCCCUCUCCAGUUCCUGCACUUAAAAAGUGUAGCUGCCUUACAAGGCCCUCUACUAUUUGGCUCCAUAACUUAGAAC
RNAcentral lists this long non-coding RNA (714 nucleotides) under Homo sapiens (human). RNAcentral's name for it is "non-protein coding lnc-KIAA0319-2:1". Lineage: Eukaryota; Metazoa; Chordata; Mammalia; Primates; Hominidae. The record is from RNAcentral.